AUAACUCCAUAUCUUAACUUUCCAUUAUUACUUAAAAUAUUAAUCUUAUAAAUAAUUACAAAAAUUAUUUUUUAUUUUCUCUCUCUAAACAUCUGAAUGCUCAUAAGUCAUAACCCCCUUUACUCGAAUUCACGCACACAGACAAUUCAUGAUAUAAUUCUCUUCUUCCUCCAUCAACCAACAAUCAUUUUCUCCAUCAAUUUUCUCCAUUAUUACCCUUAUUCCAUCAAUUUCCUUACUUAUUUUAAUUAAUUGACACAACAAACAACAUUCUUUUCUUCCCUCAAACACACCCAUUUUUACAUUUCUAAAUCAUCAAUAAACAUACUCAUUCUUACCAACAUCCAAUUCAUUCCAACAUUCUCUUGAUCUAAAUAUUGGCGGUUGAUUUCCGCCGUUUCUGACAACGUUGGUGAAGUUAUUGGUUAUUUUCUCGGAGUUUAUUCGAAACAUCGAAUUUUCAUCAUCGUUGAGCUUCGGUGGUGUUGUGAGCUAGUUGUUGAUGGUGUUUUGGUGGUGGAUUUCACCGGAUUUGGAAUCAUGGUGGUGCUUAUAUGGGUUGUAGUGGUCGUUUUGGGUGAUUGAUGAUCGAAGUUUGCUAUUAAAAAUGAUGUAUCUGAUUGAAAAUAUG
Molecule: long non-coding RNA, 631 nt
Filed under: Capsicum annuum
Lineage: Eukaryota; Viridiplantae; Streptophyta; Magnoliopsida; Solanales; Solanaceae
Description: long non-coding RNA (CANN_LNC009658)
Source: RNAcentral